AUUGAACGCUGGCGGCAGGCCUAACACAUGCAAGUCGAACGAGUGGCGGACGGGUGAGUAAUGUCUGGGAAACUGCGUGAUGGAGGGGGAUAACUACUGGAAACGGUAGCUAAUACCGCAUACCAUCAGAUGUGCCCAGAUGGGAUGAGCUGGUUGGGGGGGUAACGGAUAACAAAGGCGACGAUCCCUAGCUGGUCUGAGAGGAGGACCAGCCACACUGGAACUGAGACACGGUCCAGACUCCUACGGGAGGCAGCAGUGGGGAAUAUUGCACAAGGGGCGAAAGCCUGAUGCAGCCAUGCCGCGUGUAUGAAGAAGGCCUUCGGAUUGUAAAGCACUUUCAGCGGGGAGGCGUUACCCGCAGAAGAAGCACCGGCUAACUCCGUGCCAGCAGCCGCGGUAAUAC
This 406-nucleotide ribosomal RNA is filed under the name uncultured bacterium. RNAcentral's name for it is "partial 16S ribosomal RNA". It matches the Rfam family "Bacterial small subunit ribosomal RNA", at positions 29 to 526 of the family's 1533-position model. The record is from RNAcentral.